AGAGAGAGAGAUAUUGUAAUCGGUGCGAAAAGAAAGAUCUCGCAAUCGGAGUAUUACAUUGGCAAGAAGAUGGAGGUUCACAAUUGUAGCACUCGCAGACUUGUAGGUGAAAGAAGGGAAACCAACAAACUUCAUGCUUUCCAACCCAUCCACCACCAAAUUUAGGUGAACCAUUGCAAAAAACCAAAAAUCACAGCUUUCCAGCUUCUCCAAGAGGACAUCAUCCCCCAAGCCAAAAGGGGGAAUACAAUGGCACAUAAAAAACAUGAUCUUUGAACUUAAUUUCACUUCACCAAAUCCAAAUGACUCAUCUAAAGCAUGAGUAAGAAUCCCCUCUCUCAUGAGCAAGAAUCCUCUCUCUCUAGCCAACAUUGUCACUCUUUGUAUAUGAACCCGAUCUCAAAACCAAAACACAAGGAGGUUUUCAGGCCACUAAGCAUGAAAAGAGAC
RNAcentral lists this long non-coding RNA (450 nucleotides) under Amborella trichopoda. RNAcentral describes it as "long non-coding RNA (ATRI_LNC002839)". Lineage: Eukaryota; Viridiplantae; Streptophyta; Magnoliopsida; Amborellales; Amborellaceae. The record is from RNAcentral.